Molecule: non-coding RNA, 419 nt
Organism: Gekko japonicus
Lineage: Eukaryota; Metazoa; Chordata; Lepidosauria; Squamata; Gekkonidae
Source: the annotation of a RefSeq genome assembly
GUUCCAGGUCCCAACUAGUAGUGACCCAGCCACCUUCACUAACCAGUGCUCCAGGAUCGACAGUUCAGAUCUCUUGUGCAAUGAGCAGUGGCUACAGCAUCAGCAGUCAAAGAGUCCAUUGGUACCAGCAGAAAUCAGGGGGUGCUCCACUGUUUCUCUACCACUAUUACACCAGCAGUGACCAAGGCAGGGGCUCAGGGGUCCCCGAGAGAUUCACCGUGUCCCCUGACACCUCCAGAAACCUCUGGAAUCUAGUCAUCGCAGGAGUUCAAGCUGAAGAUGACGCUGAUUAUUACUGUUGUACUUGGGAUCUAAAGCUCAGCUCGUAUCACAGUGAUUCGUCAUGGGGAACUGAGACGAAAACCUUUCCUGUGUCACACAGUAUUCAUGCAUCAGCAGACAAAUCUGCUUUGCGCUGA